RNAcentral lists this ribosomal RNA (408 nucleotides) under uncultured bacterium. RNAcentral describes it as "partial 16S ribosomal RNA". It matches the Rfam family "Bacterial small subunit ribosomal RNA", at positions 28 to 526 of the family's 1533-position model. The record is from RNAcentral.
GACGAACGCUGGCGGCGUGCUUAACACAUGCAAGUCGAACGAAGUGGCGAACGGGUGAGUAACGCGUAAUCAACCUGCCCUUCAGAGGGGGACAACAGUUGGAAACGACUGCUAAUACCGCAUAAUGAAGGAGGGGAUUGCGUCUGAUUAGCUAGGUGGAGGGGUAACGGCCCACCAAGGUGAUGAUCAGUAGUCGGUCUGAUAGAAGGAACGGGCACAUUGGGACUGAGACACGGCCCAGACUCCUACUGGAGGCAGCAGUGGGGAAUCUUCCGCAAUGGACGAAAGUCUGACGGAGCAACGCCGCGGGAGGGAUGACGGCCUUCGGGUUGUAAAGCUCUGUUAAUCGGGACGCGGUACCGGAAUAGAAAGCCACGGCUAACUACGUGCCAGCCGCCGCGGUAAUUC